Molecule: long non-coding RNA, 3951 nt
Organism: Trichosurus vulpecula (common brushtail)
Lineage: Eukaryota; Metazoa; Chordata; Mammalia; Diprotodontia; Phalangeridae
Exons: 2
Source: RefSeq, a predicted model, not a curated record
UGCGUCACAGGAUCUGGUACCUGUCAAUUUCGUCCUACACCUAGUAGGUGUCGGCGGGGAGGUGGAAGGAGUGGAAGGGAAAGAAGGUGCGUCACAGGAUCCAGGGCCUGUCAGUUUUGUCCUAGACCUAGCUGGUGUUGGCCGCGGAGGUGGAGGGGAAGGGAAGGAAAGUGCGUCACAGGAUCUGGUACCUGUCAAUUUCGUCCUACACCUAGUAGGUGUCGGCGGGGAGGUGGAAGGGGAGGAAAGUGCGUCACAGGAUCUAGGGCUCGUCAGUUUUGUCCUAGACCUAGGAGGUGUCGACGGGGAGGUGGAAGGAGGGGAAGAGAAGGCAAGUGCGUCACAGGAUCCAGGGCCUGUCAGUUUUGUCCUAGACCUAGCUGGUGUUGGCCGCGGAGGUGGAGGGGAAGGGAAGGAAAGUGCGUCACAGGAUCUGGUACCUGUCAAUUUCGUCCUACACCUAGUAGGUGUCGGCGGGGAGGUGGAAGGGGAGGAAAGUGCGUCACAGGAUCUAGGGCUCGUCAGUUUUGUCCUAGACUUAGCAGGUGUUGGCCGCGGAGGUGGAAGGAGGGGAAGGGAAGGAAGGUGCGUCACAGGAUCCAGGGCCUGUCAGUUUUGUCCUAGACCUAUCUGGUGUUGGCCGCGGAGGUGGAAGGAAGGGAAGGAAAGUGCGUCAUAGUGUCCCGCGACUGGUAGGCCCCUGAGGCAGCUUUAUUCUAGGUAGGCCUAUUUGGUGUUAAUUGCGGAGGUGGAAGGGGGGGAGGGGGAAAAAUGCUACGUAGAAUCCGAGGCCGUCAACCCGAGAGGCAGCUUUGUUCUAGGCCUUGCCAGUGUUUGCUGCAAAGGUGGAAAAGGGGGAGGAGUUUGAGUAUCCUGCGGCAGUAAGAUUGUGGGAGGGGCUGAGUCCUCGGCCUAUCCACUAUUGGCUGCGAAAGUAGAAAGAGGGAGGGGGAAGAAAGUACGUCAGAGAAUCCAGGGCCAAUCAAGUUGCAGAGGCUGAUUUGUCCCACCCCAGCUAGCGUUUAUUGCGGAAGGUGGGAGGGGGAGGGGAAAGUGCGUCAAGAGAAUCCGUAGCCAAUCAGGUCCCAGAAGCGGCCUUGUUCUAGAACUUGCCUGCAUUUGCUGCAAAGGUGGGAAAGGGGAGGGGAGGUUACGUCAGAUAAUCCAGGGCCAAUCAGAUCAUGGGAGGGGCUGAGUUGUCGGCCUAUUCGCUAUUGGCUGCAAUGGUGGAAGGAGGGUGGGGAAAGAAAGUGCGUCAGAGAAUCCAGGGCCAACCAAACUCCAGAGGCAGCUUUGUCCUAGCCUUUGCUGCGACGGUGGAAAAGGGGGCGGGGAAGUUUGCGUCAGAGAAUCCAGGACCAAUCCUGGGAGCCUCUGAGUCUCUAUGUUUGCUGCAAAGGUGGAAGAGGGUGGGGAAGGGGGCUGUGCCAGGGAAGGUACGGCCAAGACGUGGGCCAAUCAGAGCCCAGCCAGAGUCGGCUUUGUCAUCUUUCAGGUAAAGCAUCCUUCAAUUGUGGGUGGGUGGGAGAAGAGAAGCUGCUCCUUUUCUUACCCCUCGGAAAGGGUCCUGGGUUGUUUCUUUUUUUAAUGUGCUCAGUAGGCCAAAGUAUUGGUAAGAGCAGGUUAAUUUAGUGAUCAAUGACAAAACAUGUUUAUGCUUCGAUAUACAGCAUUCAUUUCAAUAUGUUUAUAUCAGCACAGAAGUGGUGUUUUAAUUAAAUACAAAGCCGGAUUUGGCUAUAAAAACAAAAAUGUAGCUCUAUGGACAGCCUUAAUGCGGUAAGACUAUUACUCAUCAUUAUAAUGGGGAACGUUUUUGAAAAAAUAAGGUGUUAAAUAGGAUUUAAAAGGGAUACUAUUUGUGAUUUUAAAUCGUAAUGUUAAGACACAUCAUGAGCAAUAUGUUAAAAAUGAAUAAAAAAAAUUGAAAAGGGGGGGACCCUGGGAGGUUAGAGCAGGGUGGAGUUGGGUGUUGUUUUUUUUUUUUUCUCAACGUGUUGAGUUGGACAAGGUAUUGGGAUUCACACGUUAAUUUUAAAAAAGUGUUUUGAUAUGAAACAGUUAUUUCAAUAUAAUUUGUAUCAGCACAGGGGUGAUGCUCUGAAUUAAAACACUGUUCCAGAACUACACAGCCAAAGAGGAAAGGUGAAAAUACAAUGUCAUAUAUUGCUACCAAAAAAAAGGUAAUUAUUUGCACAGUCCUGAUCAGUCAGAUCCUGAACUACAUCGCUAAAGUGGAAAGGUGAACAUACAGUGCCUUAUUUGGAUACUUUCCCCCCCAAAAAAAAACCGUUCUAAGCACGGAUCAGGUAAGAGUGCUGUGGAUGCUAAUAUUGUAUGAUGCAGUGCAUAAAAUGCUGGACCUGGAAUCAGGAAGACCUGAGUUCAAAUUUGGCCUCAGACACUUACUUGCUGUGUGACCCAGGACAUGAUUUGGUUGUAUUUUUUGAAAAAUAUAAAGUGUUAAAUACAUAAGACUUUAAAAGGACACCAUUUGUGCUUUUAAAUCACUGUAUUGCUAAGCAUAUGCAAUGUAAUAAAUAAAAAUGAAUAAAUUAAAAGAAAAAAGAACCCCAAAAUAUCAGAGAAGGAACAGGGCUAUAAAGUUCUUUAGAAUAUGGAAUGUCUAACUUGAAGGUACCUUUCAAGACAAUAUACUGAAGGUUGCAUAAAGCUUAGAGUAGUGAAUUUCAGAGGUGGGAGUGACCUAGGAAUCACAGAAUGUCAAUGGGGAGGGCCCUUAAAACAUAAUGUCGGAGCUGGGAAGAAGGUUUUUUUAAUGUGUUCAGAGGGCCAAUGUAUUGGAAGGGACAGAUAAAUUUUUGAAAGACUAUUAUGUAUAUGUAUAGUAUGAGAUAGAACAUUUAUUUUGCUAUCAUUUAUUUCUGCAUAAUUUUAAUGCUCUGAAUUAAAAGUCAGGUCCUGAACUACACUGCCAAAAUGGAAAGGUGAACAUAUAAUGCCUUACCUGGAUACAAAAAAAAAUUGUAAGCAUGGAUCAGGUAAGAUUGCCAUUGGAUAUUAAUGUUAUGUGAUGCAAAACAUAGAGUGCUUGACCUGGAAUCAGGAAAACUUAAGUUCAAAUCUGACCUCAGACAUUUUAACUUGCUGUGUGACCCAGGACAUGAAUUGGUUUUACUGAAAAAUAUGAAGUAUUAAAUAUACAAGACUUUUAAAGGACACCAUUUGUGCUUUAACAUCAUUGUAAACAUAUGCGAUGUGAUAAAAUAAAAAUAAAGGAAAAGAAAAAUAGUCUAGAAGGUCAGAGUGAGGUUGGGCCAUAGUCCAAAAUAUUGUGAGGUUGGGGGAGUGGGGUAGGAGUUGUCUUUUAAAGUAGAAUGAUGGAGGUAGGAGAUAGCUUUAGCCAACAGAUUUUCACAAGUAGGAGGUUAGGCUGAACACUGAAGGUCAGAACUGAAAGUGGACAGAAGCCAGGAUACCAAACCUGGGAUGAGACUUAGAAUAUGGAAUGUACAAGCUGAGAGGCAUCUUAGCAUCCAGAAGGCCUGAAGUGAGUGAAGCCCUAGAAAACUAAAAUAUCCCAGUUUGGAGGGAUCUUCUAAAACAGGAAGUAGGACAUGGUCAGAGUCCAAGAACCCAAACGGUCAGAGCCCAUGAGACCUUAGGACAUAGAAUGUCAGGUGGGCUAAAAUGCUGGGAAUGACUGGUUAAUUUAGGAAACAAAAUAACAAAGCAUAUUUAUGAUAGGAGACACAACAUAUACUUCAACAUAAUUUACACCAGCUCAGUUUUGAUGCUCUGAACUAAAAGUCAGGUCCUGAACCACAGACACAAAGAAGACCAGUAAUAAUAUGGUACCUUAUCUGGCUACCAGAAAAGAAUGUAAUUCCCUGUAUGGCCUUGAUCAGGUAAGACUGCUAUUGAUACCGUUGUUAUUAGGAAUGGAUUGGCUGGAUUUAUCGAAGUAAAUAAAGUGCUGAGUAUUCAAGA